AUUGAACGCUGGCGGCGUGCUUAACACAUGCCAGUCGAACGCGAAAGGGGCCUCUGCCCUGAGUAAAGUGGUGCACGGGUGAGUAACGCGUGGAUAAUCUGCCCUUAUGAUCUGGAUAACAGUUGGAAACGGCUGCUAAUACCGGAUACGCUCAAGAUGAACUUUUUGAGGAAAGAUGGCCUCUGCUUGCAUGCCAGCGCGUAAGGAUGAGUCCGCGUCCCAUUAGCUUGUUGGCGGGGUAACGGCGUACCGAGGCGUUGACGGGUAGCCGGCUUGAGAGGGUGACCGGCCACAGUGGGACUGAGAGACGGCCCAGACUCCUACGGGAGGCAGCAGUGGGGAAUAUUGCACAAUGGGCGGAAGCCUGAUGCAGCAACGCCGCGUGCGGGAUGACGGCCUUCGGGUUGUAAACCGCUUUCGCCUGUGACGAAGCGUGAGUGACGGUAAUGGGUAAAGAAGCACCGGCUAACUACGUG
RNAcentral lists this ribosomal RNA (476 nucleotides) under uncultured bacterium. Its description in RNAcentral is "partial 16S ribosomal RNA". It matches the Rfam family "Bacterial small subunit ribosomal RNA", at positions 30 to 507 of the family's 1533-position model. The record is from RNAcentral.